GAUGAAGAACGUAGCGAAAUGCGAUACUUGGUGCGAAUUGCAGAAUCCCGUGAACCAUCGAGUCUUUGAACGCAAGUUGCGCCCGAAGCCUUUUGGCCGAGGGCACGUCUGCCUGGGUGUCACGCAACGUCGCCGCCAGCACACCCUUCCCUUAGGGGAUCGGGAUGUAGCUGGGGGCGGAUUUUGGCCUCCCGUGCGCCUCAGCGCGCGCGGUUGGCCUAAAUUUCAGCUCACGGCGAGGAUCGCCACGACAAGCGGUGGUUUUUUGAACUAAGGACCUCGGGUGUUGUCGUGCGGCCUCGCGGAGAGAAGGAACCCUCGUGCGCUAGCGCACACUCUUAACGAGACCCCAGGUCAGUCGGGAACACCCGCUGAAUUUAAGCAUAUCAAUAAGCGGAGGA
This 401-nucleotide unclassified non-coding RNA is filed under the name soil metagenome. RNAcentral's name for it is "partial contains 5.8S ribosomal RNA, internal transcribed spacer 2, and large subunit ribosomal RNA". The stretch from base 1 to 122 matches the Rfam family "5.8S ribosomal RNA", at positions 35 to 154 of the family's 154-position model. The record is from RNAcentral.